GCACAGUCCGUGGCAGGAGCCUGGGUAAGACGGUGGGUGCAAGCGCUACCCGGAAUGACUGGGCGUAAAGGGCGUGUAGGCGGUUACCUAGGUCCGAUUUUAAAGACCGAAGCUCAACUUCGGGAGUGGAUUGGAUACUGAGUGACUUGACCUCUGGAGAGGAAACCGGAAUUCCUGGUGUAGCGGUGGAAUGCGUAGAUACCAGGAGGAACACCAAUGGCGAAGGCAGGUUUCUGGACAGAAGGUGACGCUGAGGCGCGAAAGUGUGGGGAGCGAACCGGACUAGAUACCCGUGUAGUC
This 300-nucleotide ribosomal RNA is filed under the name uncultured bacterium. RNAcentral's name for it is "bacterial SSU rRNA". It matches the Rfam family "Bacterial small subunit ribosomal RNA", at positions 496 to 795 of the family's 1533-position model. The record is from RNAcentral.